RNAcentral lists this ribosomal RNA (460 nucleotides) under uncultured bacterium. Its description in RNAcentral is "partial 16S ribosomal RNA". It matches the Rfam family "Bacterial small subunit ribosomal RNA", at positions 338 to 795 of the family's 1533-position model. The record is from RNAcentral.
CCUACGGGCGGCAGCAGUGAGGAAUAUUGGUCAAUGGACGAGAGUCUGAACCAGCCAAGUAGCGUGAAGGAUGACUGCCCUAUGGGUUGUAAACUUCUUUUAUAUGGGAAUAAAAUGUUCCACGUGUGGGAUUUUGUAUGUACCAUAUGAAUAAGGAUCGGCUAACUCCGUGCCAGCAGCCGCGGUAAUACGGAGGAUGCGAGCGUUAUCCGGAUUUAUUGGGUUUAAAGGGAGCGUAGGUGGAUUGUUAAGUCAGUUGUGAAAGUUUGGGGCUCAACCGUAAAAUUGCAGUUGAAACUGGCAGUCUUGAGUACAGUAGAGGUGGGCGGAAUUCGUGGUGUAGCGGUGAAAUGCUUAGAUAUCACGAAGAACUCCGAUUGCGAAGGCAGUUCACUGGACUGCAACUGACACUGAGGCUCGAAAGUGUGGGUAUCAAACAGGAUUAGAUACCCUAGUAGUC